This 542-nucleotide long non-coding RNA is filed under the name Mytilus galloprovincialis (Mediterranean mussel). Lineage: Eukaryota; Metazoa; Mollusca; Bivalvia; Mytilida; Mytilidae. The record is from RNAcentral.
CCUCAUUUUCUAAGUUAGGACCUAGGGGACUCAAGUAAAAACAUCCCAGGGUUAUAUGGUUAUCUGUUAAUGAGUUAAAUAAACAUACCGACAAAUUUAUUUUGUAAAGGUAAAUAACUCCUAUAAAAUUUCAUCGAAUCGCUUCGAUCCAAAUACGCCAAAAAUUAAUGAGGAUGUAACGAACAAUUUGUAAAAAGAAUUUUUUCGCUAUCUUUUUUUGUUACGAAGGAGAUACGCUUUGAUGAUAAACAGUGAAUAGGGAGAUAACUCUUACAAAGAAAAUGGUUCGGUUUAGCAGGGUGAAAUUUAAAAGCGCAUAAAGUAUACGAUACAAUAUGAGAAAUAUCUAAGCGACAUAUUGCGAAACAAACAUUUAUCGCAAGAACAAAAGUUGGCGGAAAAAAAAAAAAAUAAUAAUAAUAAUAAUAAUAAUCAGAACAAAAACAAUAAGUCUUUCCAAAGAAAAGUGGAAAGACUUAAUAAUCAGAACAAAAACAAUAAGUCUUUCCACAGAAAAGUGGAAAGACUUAAUAAUCAGAAGA